GACAGGGGACCCGAGCGUUAGUCGGAAUUACUGGGCGUAAAGGGCUCGUAGGCGGCCAACUAAGUCAGACGUGAAAUCCCUCGGCUUAACCGGGGAACUGCGUCUGAUACUGGAUGGCUUGAGGUUGGGAGAGGGAUGCGGAAUUCCUGGUGUAGCGGUGAAAUGCGUAGAUAUCAGGAGGAACACCGGUGGUGUAAACGGCUUUCUGGACCAUAACUGACGCUGAGGCACGAAAGCGUGGGUAGCAAACAGG
RNAcentral lists this ribosomal RNA (253 nucleotides) under uncultured bacterium. RNAcentral's name for it is "partial 16S ribosomal RNA". It matches the Rfam family "Bacterial small subunit ribosomal RNA", at positions 524 to 776 of the family's 1533-position model. The record is from RNAcentral.